Molecule: transfer RNA, 74 nt
Filed under: Papillibacter cinnamivorans DSM 12816
Lineage: Bacteria; Bacillati; Bacillota; Clostridia; Eubacteriales; Oscillospiraceae
Rfam family: tRNA
About the family: Transfer RNA (tRNA) molecules are approximately 80 nucleotides in length.
Source: Rfam by way of RNAcentral
GUGGGUAUAGUUCAGUUGGUUAGAGCGCCAGAUUGUGGAUCUGGAAGUCGUCGGUUCAAGUCCGAUUACCCACC